UUCACAAAAUUCCCAAAUCCAUCACAAAACCUAAUCCAACUCUCUCUCUUCUCUCUGGCGGAAAUCGCCGCCAUCCGCCACCGCCGCCUCGCGGUCGCCGCUCGUCCUCGGCUGUCCGACGAGCAGGGCUGCCGCCUACUGCGUCGCCGGAGCGACACCGGCUCCGCCUCCCUUCUCCGAUUCGCACACUUUCCCCAAAUUCGUAUAUUUCCUAAAUUGAAGAAGCGAGCAGCGUCUACUCCCUCCUCUCGUUUCGUUCUUCCCCGGUGAAGUUGCCGACAAGGGAAAGGCGUCGCCUUUCUUCUUCCGUCUCUUUCUCCGUCGCGCGUGGAAGUUCCGGGGUCGCCAUCGCGCCUACGCCGUCAGCCUCGGCGAGCAGCGCCGCUUGUCUCCGCCGUUGGCCUCACGCCGGCGUUUUCUCCAUGCCGGGCAGUCCGUCGUCUAAGAUAAGUCCCUUUCCCCUAACCCCUUUAAUUAUUCCGUAAAUCUGGAGUUCUCGGUUGAUGCUCGAUUCAACAUCUUGGGUGUUCUUAGUCACUAGGAUGAGCUUAAUAUUUUGCAAUUAGUCAUUGGCUUUGAUGCAAAAGAUCACUAAUUAUGAAGCUUAGGGCAGCAACUAAAUUGAUGAGGCCUUGAUGUCUUAACUUGCACAUGAGACCUACUGUGCUGAUAUUGCUAAGUUCGCAUUUUGAUUCUUGAGCAUCUAUGGUUCUAAGUUCUUGACUAUCUAUUGGGGUUGGUUUAUAUGAUGUAAAGCAUGAUGUUGGGUGUUGAGGCAAUUACCUAUUGAAGCUGCGGCUGCUUUGAGAAUUCAGCUCUUAAAACCUCAUCUUUCUUCCACUCAAACUUGCUGUGUUGCUGGAAAAAUUUGAAGGUGUGUAGGAGAGUGUUCAAGGGUGGUGUGGAGGGGAAUUUAUAGCAGAAUGUGUACUCGUGAGAAUUUAAUGGAGCUGUUGUAUUACUUGUUCUCUUCUUGCAGCAAAUCCUUCUUUUUAAGAUCUUCACUAAGCUUUUAAUUAAUACAUUCGUCUCUUUCUUGAAGCACAAGUACUCCCUUCAUAAUAUCACUUGUUUGGACAUGUAGGGGUGCAGGUGGUUGCUUGAUUCAGGCAGAUUUGGUGCAGCUGCCAUUUUGGGAUCAUUUUGACUUCCUUUGAUAAAGUUGUACCCAUAGGAGAAAGAGUUAUUGGGCUGUUAUUGGGCUGACCUUCGGGCCGACGGGCCAAACUCUCGGGCUGCGCAAGGUGUGGCUCGGGCUUAAGAAGAGAGGCCCAACAUUUGCAUAUUUGUAUUCUUUAAAUUCUUUCUCAUCAACACGUGUGUAAAUUAUUUUGUAACUAGAGAGUAGCUUGAUGUGUAUUCGAACUUUCUGGAUCAGCAAAGUAACCUCGUAUUCUUUCUUGA
Salvia hispanica is the source of this 1404-nucleotide long non-coding RNA. RefSeq lists it as uncharacterized. Lineage: Eukaryota; Viridiplantae; Streptophyta; Magnoliopsida; Lamiales; Lamiaceae. The record is from RefSeq and is a predicted model, not a curated record.